This is a non-coding RNA of Ictidomys tridecemlineatus (thirteen-lined ground squirrel), 72 nucleotides long. NCBI's taxonomy places the organism in Eukaryota, Metazoa, Chordata, Mammalia, Rodentia, Sciuridae. The record is from Rfam.
AGGGUUGUAGCUCAGUGGUUGAGCGCUUGCCUCGCAUGUGUGAAGUACUGAGUUCGAUCCUCAGCACCACAU